CCUACGGGAGGCAGCAGUGGGGAAUAUUGGGCAAUGGGCGCAAGCCUGACCCAGCAACGCCGCGUGAAGGAAGAAGGCUUUCGGGUUGUAAACUUCUUUUAAGAGGGAAGAGCAGAAGACGGUACCUCUUGAAUAAGCCACGGCUAACUACGUGCCAGCAGCCGCGGUAAUACGUAGGUGGCAAGCGUUGUCCGGAUUUACUGGGGGUAAAGGGCGUGCAGCCGGUAAGACAAGUCAGAUGGGAAAUCCCGCGGCUCAACCGCGGAACUGCAUUUGAAACUGUUUUUCUUGAGUACCGGAGAGGACAGCGGAAUUCCUUGUGUAGCGGUGAAAUGCGUAGAUAUAAGGAAGAACACCAGUGGCGAAGGCGGAUGACUGGACGGCAACUGACGGUGAGGCGCGAAAGCGUGGGGAGCAAACAGGAUUAGAUACCCUUGUAGUC
Molecule: ribosomal RNA, 442 nt
Filed under: uncultured bacterium
Lineage: Bacteria
Description: partial 16S ribosomal RNA
Rfam family: Bacterial small subunit ribosomal RNA
Source: RNAcentral